AUUGAACGCUGGCAGAAUGCUUUACACAUGCAAGUCGAACGGCAGCACGGACUUCGGUCUGGUGGCGAGUGGCGAACGGGUGAGUAAUGUAUCGGAACGUGCCCAGUCGUGGGGGAUAACGUAGUGAAAAUUACGCUAAUACCGCAUACGAUCUAUGGAUGAAAGCGGGGGAUCGCAAGACCUCGCGCGAUUGGAGCGGCCGAUAUCAGAUUAGGUAGUUGGUGGGGUAAAGGCCCACCAAGCCAACGAUCUGUAGCUGGUCUGAGAGGACGACCAGCCACACUGUGACUGAGACACGGUCCAGACUCCUACGGGAGGCAGCAGUGGGGAAUUUUUGACAAUGGGCGAAAGCCUGAUCCAGCCAUUCCGCGUGCAGGAUGAAGGCCCUCGGGUUGUAAACUGCUUUUGUACAGAACGAAAAGGUUUCUACUAAUACUAGGAGCUCAUGACGGUACUGUAAGAGUAAGCACCGGCUAACUACGUGCCAGCCGCCGCCGCUG
This 500-nucleotide ribosomal RNA is filed under the name uncultured bacterium. Its description in RNAcentral is "partial 16S ribosomal RNA". It matches the Rfam family "Bacterial small subunit ribosomal RNA", at positions 30 to 523 of the family's 1533-position model. The record is from RNAcentral.